RNAcentral lists this long non-coding RNA (499 nucleotides) under Jatropha curcas. RNAcentral's name for it is "long non-coding RNA (JCUR_LNC003582)". The record is from RNAcentral. Lineage: Eukaryota; Viridiplantae; Streptophyta; Magnoliopsida; Malpighiales; Euphorbiaceae.
GCAAAUAAAGGCGAGCCUAUGUGCAAUCAUGAGUUCAACCAGAAGAAAUAGAACUGCUCUGGAUAUUAGAACCAAAUUCCCUCAGCUUAAAUUCUUUUUAUGUUCAAAUCAGCAACAUUUAAUGAUGCGUGUCAUCAUUAGAGGAGGUAAGUAUGCAUAAACAACUUCCUAUGAGCAUUAAACAAAAGUAGAAAAAAUCCUAUUUGAUGAGAUGAUGCAUCCAAGAUAACAAGGUUAAAUAAUAUAUGCAUAGAUGGAAAUAAUAUCUCAGCAACGUGCAGAAAAAGUUUCCAACUUAGCCUUCAGCCGCUCUCCAUUCACCUUAAAGUUAUUAAAUAACCAGUAAUAUUCACAAGAAUCUACUAAACCCUUCAGCAAAUAGGACACAGGAAAAAAGCUUAAGUUGAUGGAUUCAUAGCCUUAGGCUCCUCAGCAGUUCCCUGUUAUUUUCACACAUCAAUUCAGAGGAAACAUGAACUCUCAACCUGCUAUUUUUCCC